Molecule: ribosomal RNA, 576 nt
Filed under: Candida tropicalis
Lineage: Eukaryota; Fungi; Ascomycota; Pichiomycetes; Serinales; Debaryomycetaceae
Description: partial large subunit ribosomal RNA
Rfam family: Eukaryotic large subunit ribosomal RNA
Source: RNAcentral
AGGAAAAGAAACCAACAGGGAUUGCCUUAGUAGCGGCGAGUGAAGCGGCAAAAGCUCAAAUUUGAAAUCUGGCUCUUUCAGAGUCCGAGUUGUAAUUUGAAGAAGGUAUCUUUGGGUCUGGCUCUUGUCUAUGUUUCUUGGAACAGAACGUCACAGAGGGUGAGAAUCCCGUGCGAUGAGAUGAUCCAGGCCUAUGUAAAGUUCCUUCGAAGAGUCGAGUUGUUUGGGAAUGCAGCUCUAAGUGGGUGGUAAAUUCCAUCUAAAGCUAAAUAUUGGCGAGAGACCGAUAGCGAACAAGUACAGUGAUGGAAAGAUGAAAAGAACUUUGAAAAGAGAGUGAAAAAGUACGUGAAAUUGUUGAAAGGGAAGGGCUUGAGAUCAGACUUGGUAUUUUGUAUGUUACUUCUUCGGGGGUGGCCUCUACAGUUUAUCGGGCCAGCAUCAGUUUGGGCGGUAGGAGAAUUGCGUUGGAAUGUGGCACGGCUUCGGUUGUGUGUUAUAGCCUUCGUCGAUACUGCCAGCCUAGACUGAGGACUGCGGUUUAUACCUAGGAUGUUGGCAUAAUGAUCUUAAGUC